CACGUAGGGGACGUGCGUUGUCCGGAUUCAUUGGGCGUAAAGCGCGCGUAGGCGGCUCGGAAAGUCGGUCGUGAAAUGCCGGGGCUCAACCCCGGGACUGCGUCCGAUACUCUCGAGCUGGAGGCAGGUAGGGGAGAUCGGAAUUCCUGGUGCAGCGGUGAAAUGCGCAGAUAUCAGGAGGAACACCGGUGGCGAAGGCGGAUCUCUGGGCCUUGCCUGACGCUGAGGCGCGAAAGCUAGGGGAGCGAACAGG
Molecule: ribosomal RNA, 253 nt
Filed under: uncultured bacterium
Lineage: Bacteria
Description: partial 16S ribosomal RNA
Rfam family: Bacterial small subunit ribosomal RNA
Source: RNAcentral